AUAAUUAUAGUAUUUUUCUUAAGUUUAUAAUAAAGUAUUACAUUUUAACUCCACUUUAACAAAAGAGGUUGCUGUGUACACAUGUAUGUGUGUGCGUGAAUAAAUGGUUGUUGUUUUACUUUGUCUAUCCAUUCUAAGAAAGAGGCAACAGUGGCUGUAUACUCGGCGACAUCAAGAGGACGCAUACAAUUGAUAUAUGGCGGCCAACCGUUCAUUUUUGAGAAGAAAAUUAAAUUGCCCACCAAUGAAGAAAAGAAAUAUUGGCGCUGCAAUCAGUGGUGGAAU
Molecule: long non-coding RNA, 285 nt
Organism: Musca domestica (house fly)
Lineage: Eukaryota; Metazoa; Arthropoda; Insecta; Diptera; Muscidae
Exons: 2
Source: RefSeq, a predicted model, not a curated record